GUGCUCACUUCAGCAGCACGUGUACUAAAACUGGAACCAUGCAGAGAAGAUUAGCAUGGGCCCUGUGCAAGGAUGGCAUGCAAAUUCAUGAACCAUUCUGUAUUAAA
Small nuclear RNA from Perognathus longimembris pacificus (Pacific pocket mouse), 107 nucleotides. The record is from RefSeq and is a predicted model, not a curated record. NCBI's taxonomy places the organism in Eukaryota, Metazoa, Chordata, Mammalia, Rodentia, Heteromyidae.